GAUGAACGCUGGCGGCGCGCCUAACACAUGCAAGUCGAACGGCACCCACCUCCGGGUGGAAGCGAGUGGCGAACGGCUGAGUAACACGUGGAGAACCUGCCCCCUCCCCCGGGAUAGCCGCCCGAAAGGACGGGUAAUACCGGAUACCCCGGGGUGCCGCAUGGCACCCCGGCUAAAGCCCCGACGGGAGGGGAGGGCUCCGCGGCCCAUCCGGUAGACGGCGGGGUGACGGCCCACCGUGCCGACAACGGGUAGCCGGGUUGAGAGACCGACCGGCCAGAUUGGGACUGAGACACGGCCCAGACUCCUACGGGAGGCAGCAGUGGGGAAUCUUGCGCAAUGGGGGGAACCCUGACGCAGCGACGCCGCGUGCGGGACGGAGGCCUUCGGGUCGUAAACCGCUUUCAGCAGGGAAGAGUCAAGACUGUACCUGCAGAAGAAGCCCCGGCUAACUACGUGCCAGCCGCCGCAGUAA
This 475-nucleotide ribosomal RNA is filed under the name uncultured bacterium. RNAcentral's name for it is "partial 16S ribosomal RNA". It matches the Rfam family "Bacterial small subunit ribosomal RNA", at positions 28 to 523 of the family's 1533-position model. The record is from RNAcentral.